Carya illinoinensis is the source of this 458-nucleotide long non-coding RNA. RefSeq lists it as uncharacterized. The record is from RefSeq and is a predicted model, not a curated record. The transcript has 3 exons. Lineage: Eukaryota; Viridiplantae; Streptophyta; Magnoliopsida; Fagales; Juglandaceae.
CGCACUUUCUCUCCUCCCUUUCCUCACUUCUGUAGCCCUCUUACCCACACUUCUCUCCCACUUCCCUCCCGUAGCCCUCUCUCUCUAACCCCAAUCUGUGACUCGAAGACAUGUACAACGAGUAAUGCGUCCAGAUUUUGCUCAACGUAUAAUAAUUAAUAGAAAAGGGAAGCAAAAGGGGAGGAGUUAUGAGGCACCUAUGAAUUCACAUGAAAGUAGAGAAGACAGAGUCAUAGACAAUGAUCAUGUAUAAUUCGUGUUUCUGCAUCUGAAUCAAAUCAUGGAUCAAGAGGAUGAAAUUUCAAGUGCAAGGUGUGCAUGUAGACAAUUAUGUGCACCACUAUGGAGGUGAAGUGCAGGGAGCAUGCGGAAGGAAAGCACCCCAAAUCUGAUGUUUAUACUUGCUUCUCUCAUCUCAAAAAAUGAAUGAAUGUGGAGAUGGAUUGAGAAUAAACUAG